ACUUCUUUAUCACCGAGUGCUUGCACUCACCGAUAAAGAGUUGAGUGGCGAACGGGUGAGUAACACGUGGGCAACCUGCCCAAAAGAGGGGGAUAACACUUGGAAACAGGUGCUAAUACCGCAUAACCAUAGUUACCGCAUGGUAACUAUGUAAAAGGUGGCUAUGCUACCGCUUUUGGAUGGGCCCGCGGCGCAUUAGCUAGUUGGUGGGGUAAAGGCUUACCAAGGCAAUGAUGCGUAGCCGAACUGAGAGGUUGAUCGGCCACAUUGGGACUGAGACACGGCCCAAACUCCUACGGGAGGCAGCAGUAGGGAAUCUUCCACAAUGGGCGAAAGCCUGAUGGAGCAACGCCGCGUGGGUGAAGAAGGUCUUCGGAUCGUAAAACCCUGUUGUUAGAGAAGAAAGUGCGUGAGAGUAACUGUUCACGUUUCGACGGUAUCUAACCAGAAAGCCACGGCUAACUACGUGCCAGCAGCCGCGGUAAUACGUAGGUGGCAAGCGUUAUCCGGAUUUAUUGGGCGUAAAGGGAACGCAGGCGGUCUUUUAAGUCUGAUGUGAAAGCCUUCGGCUUAACCGGAGUAGUGCAUUGGAAACUGGGAGACUUGAGUGCAGAAGAGGAGAGUGGAACUCCAUGUGUAGCGGUGAAAUGCGUAGAUAUAUGGAAGAACACCAGUGGCGAAAGCGGCUCUCUGGUCUGUAACUGACGCUGAGGUUCGAAAGCGUGGGUAGCAAACAGGAUUAGAUACCCUGGUAG
RNAcentral lists this ribosomal RNA (755 nucleotides) under uncultured bacterium. Its description in RNAcentral is "bacterial SSU rRNA". It matches the Rfam family "Bacterial small subunit ribosomal RNA", at positions 69 to 793 of the family's 1533-position model. The record is from RNAcentral.